RNAcentral lists this ribosomal RNA (565 nucleotides) under Pedobacter sp. RNAcentral's name for it is "bacterial SSU rRNA". It matches the Rfam family "Bacterial small subunit ribosomal RNA", at positions 119 to 682 of the family's 1533-position model. Lineage: Bacteria; Pseudomonadati; Bacteroidota; Sphingobacteriia; Sphingobacteriales; Sphingobacteriaceae. The record is from RNAcentral.
AUGCAACCUACCUUAAUCAGGGGGAUAGCCCGAAGAAAUUCGGAUUAACACCGCAUAAAAACACAGAAUAGCAUUAUUCAAUGUUCAAAUAUUUAUAGGAUUAAGAUGGGCAUGCGUGUCAUUAGCUAGUUGGCGGGGUAACGGCCCACCAAGGCGACGAUGACUAGGGGAUCUGAGAGGAUGACCCCCCACACUGGUACUGAGACACGGACCAGACUCCUACGGGAGGCAGCAGUAAGGAAUAUUGGUCAAUGGAGGCAACUCUGAACCAGCCAUGCCGCGUGCAGGAAGACGGCCCUAUGGGUUGUAAACUGCUUUUAUCCGGGAAUAAACCUUUCUACGUGUAGAGAGCUGAAUGUACCGGAAGAAUAAGGAUCGGCUAACUCCGUGCCAGCAGCCGCGGUAAUACGGAGGAUCCAAGCGUUAUCCGGAUUUAUUGGGUUUAAAGGGUGCGUAGGCGGCCUGUUAAGUCAGAGGUGAAAGACGGUAGCUCAACUAUCGCAGUGCCUUUGAUACUGACGGGCUUGAAUGAACUAGAGGUAGGCGGAAUGAGACAAGUAGCGGU